Molecule: unclassified non-coding RNA, 1103 nt
Filed under: Hevea brasiliensis (rubber tree)
Lineage: Eukaryota; Viridiplantae; Streptophyta; Magnoliopsida; Malpighiales; Euphorbiaceae
Source: RNAcentral
CUGGCCAUAUUAUUUGAGGCUCUCCAAGACCAAGAGGUGUUUUGUCAUCUGAGAAUCCAGAAGACAUUGAGGUAGCCAGCUCAGUCAUCCACUUUUGAUCUAGUGAACCAAGGGAAGAGAACUGAUAGGCAAGAGGAGAAUUUUUAAACUCCUUUCCAAAGGUGCAUUCCUGGAGAACACUCCGUAGCUUCAUAUGUCCCCACCUUUUCAGGUUGGCACCAGUAUGAUAUCCAGGAACAGAUGCUAUUAACCUAACUGCUGCAUUGCUAUAAUCAAACUUUUUGAAAAAGGUUGGGUUGAUAGUGAAGUUCCCAAGGGCUGGUAACUUAACGGUGAAUUCUGGCCACUUUAAUGCAUUGAGAUAAUCAACCAAGUCAUUUUCAAAUCCACAUCCUUUGCUUUGAUUCUGUUUAUCCUUCCAGGGGAAAUCUUGCAUCCACAAACCUUGGCUUUUGUUGUUCCAGUCAACAUAUAUUAAGUUUGCUGUAUGUAUAAUAAUUCUCACCCCUCGAGGAUAGACUAGAAGCAUGGCCUUUGAAUGGUGUGUCCCAAAUGAAAUGGGUAGUGGGGGUUUAUGCAGAAUCCAACUUGCAGGCUUGCUUCUCUUCAUAUGUUCAACUGUACCGUCACCCUCUCCAUGAAUAACCAAGACAUGACGAAUUUUCGCAAGUGUAGGGCAUGCAGACAUCAACCAAUCAACGUCCACCAUGUAGUUUGAAAGGAUAGCAACAAGAAUAUCCCCCUGAAUCACAUCGGUUAUAGAAACGCAAGAGGUAUUUGCCCAAGCUGGCAGCCCUUGCACUUUCAAAAGCCGGAAGGUCAAUGGCAAAUUAUCAUUAGGAACACGAAAUUUACGAAUGUCCUUUUCACAAAUUACUGGUCCACUAUUCUCUGCCUCAUUCUUAUUAGCAGCUUUGGCUUGAUCUUCAGGUGCUUCUCGCAUCUUCUUUAAGCAAGGUUGGUCGCAUUUGACAAUUCCUUCACCGUCAUUGCAAUGCCUCUUCGACGUGUUAAGAGAAGAAGAGUUGCUGCUACUAUUCGAAGGCGACGAAGCCACGUACUUGAAGAAAUGGCGGCCAGGUAUCAACUCUAUAAUAUCACCG